UGCUAAUCUGCAGCUCCAGUAUCUUC
RNAcentral lists this non-coding RNA (26 nucleotides) under Rattus norvegicus (Norway rat). The record is from RNAcentral. Lineage: Eukaryota; Metazoa; Chordata; Mammalia; Rodentia; Muridae.